RNAcentral lists this ribosomal RNA (384 nucleotides) under uncultured haloarchaeon. RNAcentral describes it as "bacterial SSU rRNA". It matches the Rfam family "Archaeal small subunit ribosomal RNA", at positions 349 to 732 of the family's 1478-position model. The record is from RNAcentral. Lineage: Archaea; Methanobacteriati; Methanobacteriota; Halobacteria; Halobacteriales; Halobacteriaceae.
UUUACACUGCACGACAGUGCGAUAAGGGGACCCCAAGUGCGAGGGCAUACAGUCCUCGCUUUUGUGUACCGUAAGGUGGUACACGAAUAAGAGCUGGGCAAGACCGGUGCCAGCCGCCGCGGUAAUACCGGCAGCUCGAGUGAUGACCGAUUUUAUUGGGCCUAAAGCGUCCGUAGCUGGCCGCGUAGGUUCGUCGGGAAAUCCAUCCGCUCAACGGAUGGGCGUCCGGCGAAAACCACGUGGCUUGGGACCGGAAGGCUCGAGGGGUACGUCCGGGGUAGGAGUGAAAUCCCGUAAUCCUGGACGGACCGCCGAUGGCGAAAGCACCUCGAGAAAACGGAUCCGACAGUGAGGGACGAAAGCUAGGGUCUCGAACCGGAUUAG